RNAcentral lists this ribosomal RNA (253 nucleotides) under uncultured bacterium. RNAcentral describes it as "partial 16S ribosomal RNA". It matches the Rfam family "Bacterial small subunit ribosomal RNA", at positions 524 to 776 of the family's 1533-position model. The record is from RNAcentral.
UACGUAGGUGGCAAGCGUUGUCCGGAUUUACUGGGCGUAAAGAGCGCGCAGGCGGUCGUUCAAGUCGCGUGUGAAAGCCCCCGGCUCAACUGGGGAGGGUCACGCGAUACUGAUCGACUCGAAGGCAGGAGAGGGAAGUGGAAUUCCCGGUGUAGUGGUGAAAUGCGUAGAUAUCGGGAGGAACACCAGUGGCGAAGGCGACUUCCUGGCCUGUUCUUGACGCUGAGGCGCGAAAGCAUGGGGAGCGAACAGG